GUAGCUCAGUGGUAGAGC
This 18-nucleotide unclassified non-coding RNA is filed under the name Chlamydomonas reinhardtii. RNAcentral describes it as "small RNA Cre_2001". Lineage: Eukaryota; Viridiplantae; Chlorophyta; Chlorophyceae; Chlamydomonadales; Chlamydomonadaceae. The record is from RNAcentral.